GUGCGAGACCGAUAGCGAACAAGUACCGUGAGGGAAAGAUGAAAAGAACUUUGAAAAGAGAGUUAAAGAGUACCUGAAACUGCUGAAAGGGAAGCGAAUCGUAUCCAGUGUCUAUAAUCUGCGGCAUAUUUCAUUGGCGGCGGUGCGCGUGCUUUUGCGUCGGAAGCGGCUUUUGUUGCUCUGUGCUUUUGCUGUGCGUGGUGUUGCUGGUGCCCUGUGUUGCGGUGGGACGUCAGAGUCAGUUUGUAUGCUGCGGGAAAUGGCUGCCGAGGAGGUAGGUCGAGAUUUCGGUCUUGGCUGUUAUAUCUUGGUGGUUUGUUGUCGUGGUUGAGACUGAGGUGCCUACAAUGUGCUUUUGAGUGUACCGGGUUCUCAUUUGGUGGACUGUUUGGAUAGCUUGCUAUGCUUGUGGUUUUUUCAUCGGGUGAUUGAGUCUGGUGGUAACUUGUUGCUGUUCGGGACUUUGAA
This 468-nucleotide ribosomal RNA is filed under the name uncultured Oomycota. RNAcentral describes it as "LSU rRNA". The stretch from base 1 to 83 matches the Rfam family "Bacterial large subunit ribosomal RNA", at positions 476 to 559 of the family's 2925-position model. Lineage: Eukaryota; Oomycota. The record is from RNAcentral.